UACGGAGGGUGCCAGCGUUGUUCGGAAUCAUUGGGCGUAAAGAGCGUGUAGGUGGUUGAAUAAGUCAGGAGUGAAAUACCUCGGCUUAACCGGGGAACUGCUCUUGAAACUAUUCUUCUGGAGUACGAGAGAGGGUAGUGGAAUUCCAUGUGUAGAGGUGAAAUUCGUAGAUAUAUGGAGGAACACCAGUGGCGAAGGCGACUACCUGGCUCGUAACUGACACUGAGACGCGAGAGCGUGGGGAG
Molecule: ribosomal RNA, 245 nt
Filed under: uncultured bacterium
Lineage: Bacteria
Description: partial 16S ribosomal RNA
Rfam family: Bacterial small subunit ribosomal RNA
Source: RNAcentral